UUUAUGGAGAGUUUGAUCCUGGCUCAGAGUGAACGCUGGCGGCGUGCCUAAUACAUGCAAGUCGAACGAUGAAGCUUCUAGCUUGCUAGAAUGCUGAUUAGUGGCGCACGGGUGAGUAACGCAUAGGUCAUGUGCCUCUUAGUUUGGGAUAGCCAUUGGAAACGAUGAUUAAUACCAGAUACUCCCUACGGGGGAAAGAUUUAUCGCUAAGAGAUCAGCCUAUGUCCUAUCAGCUUGUUGGUAAGGUAAUGGCUUACCAAGGCUAUGACGGGUAUCCGGCCUGAGAGGGUGAACGGACACACUGGAACUGAGACACGGUCCAGACUCCUACGGGAGGCAGCAGUAGGGAAUAUUGCUCAAUGGGGGAAACCCUGAAGCAGCAACGCCGCGUGGAGGAUGAAGGUUUUAGGAUUGUAAACUCCUUUUGUUAGAGAAGAUAAUGACGGUAUCUAACGAAUAAGCACCGGCUAACUCCGUGCCAGCAGCCGCGGUAAUACGGAGGGUGCAAGCGUUACUCGGAAUCACUGGGCGUAAAGAGCGCGUAGGCGGGAUAGUCAGUCAGGUGUGAAAUCCUAUGGCUUAACCAUAGAACUGCAUUUGAAACUACUAUUCUAGAGUGUGGGAGAGGUAGGUGGAAUUCUUGGUGUAGGGGUAAAAUCCGUAGAGAUCAAGAGGAAUACUCAUUGCGAAGGCGACCUGCUAGAACAUUACUGACGCUGAUUGCGCGAAAGCGUGGGGAGCAAACAGGAUUAGAUACCCUGGUAGUCCACGCCCUAAACGAUGGAUGCUAGUUGUUGGAGGGCUUAGUCUCUCCAGUAAUGCAGCUAACGCAUUAAGCAUCCCGCCUGGGGAGUACGGUCGCAAGAUUAAAACUCAAAGGAAUAGACGGGGACCCGCACAAGCGGUGGAGCAUGUGGUUUAAUUCGAAGAUACACGAAGAACCUUACCUAGGCUUGACAUUGAGAGAAUCCGCUAGAAAUAGUGGAGUGUCUGGCUUGCCAGACCUUGAAAACAGGUGCUGCACGGCUGUCGUCAGCUCGUGUCGUGAGAUGUUGGGUUAAGUCCCGCAACGAGCGCAACCCCCUUUCUUAGUUGCUAACAGGUCAUGCUGAGAACUCUAAGGAUACUGCCUCCGUAAGGAGGAGGAAGGUGGGGACGACGUCAAGUCAUCAUGGCCCUUACGCCUAGGGCUACACACGUGCUACAAUGGGGUGCACAAAGAGAAGCAAUACUGCGAAGUGGAGCCAAUCUUCAAAACAUCUCUCAGUUCGGAUUGUAGGCUGCAACUCGCCUGCAUGAAGCUGGAAUCGCUAGUAAUCGCAAAUCAGCCAUGUUGCGGUGAAUACGUUCCCGGGUCUUGUACUCACCGCCCGUCACACCAUGGGAGUUGUGUUUGCCUUAAGUCAGGAUGCUAAAUUGGCUACUGCCCACGGCACACACAGCGACUGGGGUGAAGUCGUAACAAGGUAACCGUAGGUGAACCUGCGGUUGGAUCACCUCCUUUCUAGA
Molecule: ribosomal RNA, 1509 nt
Filed under: Helicobacter pylori
Lineage: Bacteria; Pseudomonadati; Campylobacterota; Epsilonproteobacteria; Campylobacterales; Helicobacteraceae
Description: bacterial SSU rRNA
Rfam family: Bacterial small subunit ribosomal RNA
Source: RNAcentral